This is a long non-coding RNA of Oncorhynchus keta (chum salmon), 1410 nucleotides long. RefSeq lists it as uncharacterized. NCBI's taxonomy places the organism in Eukaryota, Metazoa, Chordata, Actinopteri, Salmoniformes, Salmonidae. The transcript is spliced from 3 exons. The record is from RefSeq and is a predicted model, not a curated record.
UGAAGUAAGAGCUAGAUGUGAAGGAAUGAGAGGAAGAGAUGGACAGGCGGCUCAGAUGAGAUCAGGGCCACGUUGGUUGACCAUGUGCUCAACCAUGGAUUGGGUAUGAGGGAGGCUGGACAUAGUUCAACCCAACCUGAGCCGCUACAUGGUUGCAUCUAUCAUCCGACCAUCCAGAAAUGAGAACUGAACUGAGAGACGGCCAGGUCAUGGUGGAAGACACCGGCUGUUCACACCAGAACAGGAGACCGCCAUUGUGAACAUGGUGGUGGCAAACGACACAAUCAGACUAGGAGAAAUCCAGAACCACAUAAUUGCAGACAAACACAAUAUUCAAUAACAUUCACCAGGUGGGCUUGUCUACAUUGGACUGUGUAUUACAGCGCAACCGAAUCUGGAUGAAACAGGUUUACAGGGGAGCCAUUUGAGCAAAAAGUCAGAGGGUUAAAGAACAGCGCUAUGAACAUGUGCAAAGAGUCUUGGAGCUGGAUGCCACUGCAUCAGCAUUUGUAUAUUUACUUUUAGGCUUGCUUCAACCGAGCCAAAAAAAGGGGAUGGAACAUUAUUGGCCACCAUGCCAUUGUUAAUAUCCCUGGACAGCGUCGAGGGAAUCUCACCAUGUGCGCAGCCUUUGGCCAGCAAGGCGUCCUCCAUCGCCAUGCCAACCAUGGUCCCUACAACACCGCCUUUCUCAUCACAUUCCUGGACACACUACAUGGUAUCCUCAUUCUAGCCGAGCAGAGGGGUGGGCCAGUACAGCCCAGGUAUGUUGUCAUUUGGGACAAUGUGAGUUUCCAACGGGCUGCUCUGGUCCGCAACUGGUUCAUCGACCACCCACAAGUUAUUGUUCUAUACCUCCCACCAUAUUCCCCAUUCCUAAACACAAUUGAAGCGUUUUAUUACCCGGCAUGGCGAUGGAAGGUGUAUGACCGACAUCCCCUCGCACGCACACUUCUUCUCCAGGCAAUGGUGGAUUGCAUGUGUUGGAGUUGAUGUGGGGACUUUCGGCGGCUGGAGCCGUCACUCCAGGAGGUUCCUUCCAAGCUGUUUAGCCAGGGAGAAACAUUGCUUGUGAUGUAAAUGAGGUGCUGUGGCCAGACCAAACUAGAAGGCAGGAUGCAGCCUAAUGUGUUUUUUACUUACAUUUUGCAUUUGUUUUUGUCUGUGUUUUGAAAGAAUGAGCCACUUUUUAAAAAUACAUUUUUGUACAGAAAACCCUUUAUCUUACUGAAUGUUUUUCCAGGUUUUCUCUUGUUGGGUAUGGAAAGUGUUAGAUACAAAAUGCAGCAUUUUGGAAAUGUUUGUUACUGUAUUGCAUUUGUGUGUUUAUGUAUAUUUGAGUAGAUUAUUACAGUAAUCUUUUACAACUGGCUACAGUGUAACACUGCAAAUACAAAUGGCAUAAACCUA